Molecule: long non-coding RNA, 12551 nt
Filed under: Eucalyptus grandis
Lineage: Eukaryota; Viridiplantae; Streptophyta; Magnoliopsida; Myrtales; Myrtaceae
Description: long non-coding RNA (EGRA_LNC000735)
Source: RNAcentral
CGGCCCCGACGCUGAGCCCCGCCUUGCGUCGCCUGUCCCCGAUCCGCUCGCGAAGCCGCUCCACCUGCAGAUCUGUGGCCCAGACGCCCGUGAAGCCGCUCCGCCUGCAGAUCCGAGCCCACUGUGACCAGAUUCCCCGAGUUGCAGUCCCAUUCGCUGCCUUGCCGUCGGAGCUGAGCACCUGCGCCCGCGACACCGGCCGAGAUCUCGCCUGCCGCUGCUCCUCACGACGCCACCGCUCGCCGCCGAUCCGCUCGCUGCUGGUCCUCAUCGCCGGAGCUCCGACGAUUAACUCCCGGUGGACCUCCACGAAGCUGCCAAAGCGUGGAAAGGAAGAAAGAAAGAAAAAACAGAAAAGACAAAAAUCAGAUUAAGUAGUUUUUUUAUUAUUUUAUCUUUAUUAUUUUUAUAUAGUUUAUAGUUUGUUUUUUUAUAUAGUUUUUGUUUUAGUGUAAUUAUUCAUUGAUACAUGAUUGAGAUUUCAACAUGAAAAAGUUCCUCAAGCUAGGGAUUGACAGUCCGAUUUUCGCGUCCGAAAUCCGACUCGCAAUCCCUUACAAAAAUUGACAAUCUAAUCUCAAGCCCGAAAUUCGAUUUGCGAUUUAAUUUAAAAUUGGCCAACCUGAUCUCAUGCGCGAGAUAUGGUUCUUCAAUUUUCGGAUAUCAAUCUUAUCUUGUUUGAUUUGCUUGUCGUCGAGUUGGUUGAGUCAAUCGAAUUUUUAAAAGAAAAAUCCAAAAAAUAUUUGAGUUAGGAUUAGAUUCGUUUUAGAAUAUUCUCAGUCUUAGGGUUAUCUUGCAUGUUAGGAAUUGCAAUCUUAUUUCGAAUUUUUAAAUAAAAAAUCCAAAAAAAUGCAUUCAUUUAGGAUGUUAGUUUUCUUUAAUUUAAAUGGCACGUUUAAUUAUUUGGCAAUUUUAAGUUUCGAAUUUUAUAAAGAAAAAUACAAAAAAUCAUCAUGCAUGUAUGGCACGUCAUUGCAUAUUAAUUUGAUUGCAUGUUUAGUUUUAUUUAGAUAAAUCUUUUAGAUAGAUUGCAUUUUAGGUUAGAGAUUACUUGGUUAAGAUAAGAUUCUAGUUUAAAUUAGGAUUUGGCUUAACUUAAUUCCUAAUACAAAUUGGAUAGAAUUUUAAUCUAGCUAGGUAAUUUUUGCAUCUUAAUUUCGAAUUUCAUAAAAAAAUUGUCUUAGAGUAGAUUCAUUUCAUUCUCUAAGAUAGUUUGCAUUUUUUUAGGAAUUGAAAUAUCAAAAGCACGUCAUUUAGUUUUUUAGGCCCAUUUAAUUAGAAACUGCCCGUCAAUAGAAUUAGAUCAUUUAGAUUGCAUUUAGUUAUUGCAUAUCUUUAGGAUUUACUUUACUAAUGUCAUAUAGCUUAGGUCAUGUUGCCAUGUCAUAUUAUUAGCAUGCAUCGCAUGAUUCUCAUUAAAUAAAGUGAAAACAAAAAAUUGCUUGAUGGCGUGUUAAUUUGAAAUCAUAUCUAGUAUUGCUGAUGUGAAUUCUGAUCUAACACUGCAGAUGCUUUUGUUGCUUUGAGAUAAGUUCUGCAUCAUUUAAUUGCUUUCUUGGGUGUUAAAUUGGUGGUUUGCGCACCGGCAUGAACACCUCACAUGUUAGGGAAAUAGAUUUAAAAUCAAUCCAAACUGUUUGCCAAACAUUUUUUAAAAUAAAAAGAAAGGUAACGAAAAGGUGUUAGAGAAUUCUAGCAUAACCAAGUCCCCGUACCCAUAGUCUCUGGUUCGUAGAAGUAAAAUAAUUCUCCUGUUAUUUUACUUGGGUUUCUAAUCGACCCACCAAAAAUAGAUUAGUGGCGACUCCUAAUUGAAAAUCAAUUGCAUGUUAAGAAUUCGAACCUAAGUCGCGAAUUAGUAUGGGCUUGGGAGAGCCCGGGUUAAGUCUAGGCUUAACAAUCCAUUAGCCAAAAUCAUAAGUGAUUCACCCCCGAAAAAUUUUGGUCGCGACAGCUUGGCGACUCCACUGGGGAACUUGAGUUAAAACUCUUAGUGGACUUAGGCCAAUUUUUCUUUUAUUUUGAAAAAUGUUUUUGUUUGGCAGCGAGGAUUCCAGGUACGCCCCUAACAUUUAAGGUGUUAAAUGUUCUUGCAGGAUGGGAGGUAUAAGGGGAAGGGUUUGCUAACAUUUAUUUUGCAGGGAGGUGUAGGAAUGUAUGGUUUAUUUUCAUGAACGAAGUGUUGUUUGAUUUAAAUUUCUAUGCAUGCCUUGCAUUAUCACUACACUUUGCACACACAACCUGCCGCCGGACUUGGGCCGCAUAGGAUCAUUUAGGAUGGUAUUGAGAUGGAUACCACUCCGACCGCAUGCUCGCGGUAUGAGUCGCCCAUCUCAAUCCCGAAGUUUCUUUCAUGGUGUCAAGAGUACCCACCUCAGUCCGCAUGCCCGCGACCCAGGUCGACUCUUUGACAAAGCCGGAGUCAUGAGGACCCGACAUAGUCCACAAGCUCGUGGCUAGUCUGAUCAUCCUUGUGGCUUCACUUUGAUAAGCCUUAUAGAUUAGAAAUCGAGCCACUUACCAUGCGCAUGUCUAUGUGAUUGCCGUCAAUUUUUCUUGGUAAAGUAAGUUUUCUAUCCUUAUACCAUGCAACUUAUUUUGUCAUGCUUUUGGCCUGUCUAUGACAAUCUAGUAUAGUCAUUUGAUCUAAUUCCUUUUAGAAAUGAAAUGAGGAAAUUGACAUGCAAUGAAUCAUUUGGAAAAAAAAAAAAAACUUUGGAGAAUUUGUUUUUAAUUCAUGUCUAGGAAAUUUGAUCUUACUAGGAUAUCUAUUUUUCUAGCUCUCUUUAGGAAAUUCCUUCCUUGUAAGAGCUUUUCAUGAAAAAAAAAAUGAUGAAAAAAGUUGAUAGAUCAUUGUCAUGGAUUGAUUCUUUAUUUGCACCUCAUACUUAUAUAUUUUCAUUCAUUUGGAUUAGGUGAUAACGGAUCCCUCACGUUCGCCUAUCAUUACACGAUCAAGAGCUAAAAUGACCGACCAAACUGAAAUGCAUGAUCGUAUCUCCGCUAUGGAAUACCAACUCCAACAGUUGCUCACCUCUAUGCAACUCGUGAUAGCCCAAAUCCAAUCCCUCCGAGCGGAUUUGACUCCUGCACCUGCUUUCCCUGAGGUAGUAGUUCCGAAACAGGAAUACAAGACCCAAAUGAGCAAUAAUGACAUGCCUGAACUAGAAGAUAACCCACUAGUCAUUGCCAAACUUGACAAUGUCCCUAAGACAAAGCAGGAUGAAGUGGAAGUGAUGGACACUCUAGGGCAGCCUAGUGGCAAGUUUGAUUACCUAGUGAAGUAUUCAGCUCCUCCUAGCUUUUACUUUGACUCCCGCAACAUAGUUCCAAGUGGAUGGGAUGACAUGGACGAUCUGACGCCUCCAAAGACAGAGAACUCUGAUGACGCCUUGGAAGGAAUCACAGGUCUAUUCGAUGACCUCUUCAUAGGAGCCAAUGACGAAGGACCUUCGGAAGACAUGGACGUUAGCCUGCAAGAGUAACUUGUUACUGUUGCACAUUCCCCUGCGCGGGAAUUUUUAUCUCUUUCUAGGAAUUUUUAUCACUUUUUAGGAUUGGUUUCCGUUUUUUAGGAAUCGUUUUCGAUUUUUUCUCUUUUUAGGGAUUUAGGAAUCACAAUUUCCAUUCCAAUAAUGUAAUUCAUUUGAUUCUAUUCAAUGAGAUUACAAUUUUAUUUCCAAUUUUGAGGACAUGAUGGAGUAUACCAAACCAGUCCAAUGAUGAUAUCCAACCAUAAAAAAGAAAAAUAUCAUCCACGGAGAAAUCCUGAGGGCUGGACUUUCUCAUGUUUCCUCCCAAAAAAACUUUUCGAAAGCAAAAGCAUUUCAUUGUUAAAAAGAAAGAAAAGAUAAACAUUUUUCCAAAGCUUGUAGUAGAUUAAACCUGUUUGUUUGUCUGACUCAUUUGCUUCUUGUUUCAGUGCAUAAUUCUAUAACUUGUUAUGACAAGGGACAUCUGAGAAUAGCAUAUCAAGUUUCAAUAAUCAUAAACUUGACUUGUGAUCAACAGGUUUAAAGCGCAUUUGCAAUGAAAAAAGAUUUGGGGCAAGUAAAAGAGAACCAUCAUUCUCCGGUGGAAGAUCCUGGGGGCAAGUUUGCUCCAAAUUACAGCCUAUAUGUGGUAAGGAAGGUACUUCCAAGAGGUGCCAUCCUAGCAGAGAUGGAUGGUCGUGAGUUUUCAAACUCCAGUAAAUUCUAAUGCUUUCAAGAAGUAUUAAUCCAUGAUAGAAUUUGCCAUGUCAUAAUUUGAGCUGCAAGCAUUUCUAUGAUGAGUAAAUUGCCUCAGUGAAUUGAAUUGUUCAAAUUUGUUGCACAUCUUGCAUUUUUCUUCCUUGAUGAAUUGUGUGAGAUGGAUUGAAUGUGUGAAAUGGGAUACUUUGGAAUGAUGAAAGGCAAACCCUAUUCCAUACACUGACCUCCAGUGAGUUGUGUGAAAAAUUCCAUGCCCACGAGGAAAAGGGUGAUCUCGCAAAGGGUAUGUCAACCAAGGUGAUGAGAGGCAGUUUUUUCUGCUACCCGAAACACUCCAAGUAUAUCCAUUGUUCAGCCCUUUGAGCCCACACACAUGGAGAGCUUUUUAAAUUAUCCCUAUCAAGAGUCGUCCCAUACUGGAACAAGAUUUGAAAUGAAUGAUAGGAAUUUUCUUACUCACACUUGCAUCAAUCUUCGAGUAUUGCUUUUACAGUGUGACUUGUACGAUAAUUUAAAGUGCCUUAGGACGACGAAGAGCAGUUCUUUCUCUAUCCUAUACACUUUAUCCAUUGCAUAGCCCCAUUGAGCUUAUGAAUUCAUUUCACAUUAAACCCAGUUGGUGAUCAUCCCCCACACUGGGGCAAGGCAAGAAAGAUCAAACCACUCAAGUAACAUGAUUUACAAUGCUGAUAAAAAUGAAGACUUUGUCCAAAAAAAAAAAAAGAGUGCAAAAAAAUGGGGCAUGAAAAAGCAGUGUGCCUGGUAAAAGCAAGGCCAAUGCCCAAAGAAAAAAUCAAACACUUGAUGAAGUGAGUCGUAUCUCCAACAAGGUGGUACUCAAUAAAAAAGAAAAAAAAAACUCAAAUGUUGAGAUGUUGCAAUCAGUGGAGUUGUGAAGUGAAGAAAAUCUUCGACGAUGGGGAGGAAAAUUGUUGGAAAUGUCAAGAUGAUCACCAACUUUGACCCCAUAAACACUUUUUGAGCCAAAUGAUCCUUUCGUUUCUCAACCUAUGAACCCAACCUACGUUACGUCCCUUACAAAGUCUCUUCAGAUUAUGGCACUUGAAUUAACGUAAAAGUUUAUAUGUUUGAAAGCAUCGCUUGAAGAAGUGCGAGUAAGAUAAUUUCUACUUCAUUUCUCAUGUUUCUUGACUUGUAAACCCCAAGAUGAUGGUGAAAUAUCAUUCAUUUUUUAAUAGCCUCGACUCAAAAAGUCUCAUUUGCUAAGCCGUUGACCAAGCCAGCGUUACGGUGUGACAUCCCAAAUUUUCAACCCUGUCUUCUACUGAAUUAAUCGGGCAUUUCAUUGACGCGUCUAUAGGGUUAUUCUCAGAGCCGAUCACUCUCGAGAUAACUAGACUAGCUGGGGAAAUUAUUAAGGAAUUUUAAGGCAAUAGACUUGAGAACUCGAUCAGGAAUCGGCUUCUUGACCGUGUCUAUCUUUAGAGGCCAUUGCGGCGCAUUAUAAAAUCGAUUAGAGAUCAGAGAUAGGUCGGUUCGACUGAGAUGUGUGGCUAAUCGUGGGUGACACCACUAAAUUAGAAAAUUCUCGUUGACCGGCACUAGACCGAUUUCUUAUUGUUUUGGUACCCUGUGUCCGUAAUUGAAUCCUCGAGAUUUUCACGACAAUCAAGAGUCGCCAUUGAGUCGAGUGGGUUUAUAGUGGCUCGAAGAAAAUCGACCACGGGUCAUUUGCCUUAAAAAGUUCUGAAAACUACCCGAUAGUCUAGGUCACGCUAAAAACGCGCCGAAUGAAAAUUAACCGCCAAUUCGAGUCCGAUUUCAGAAAUUGAAGUUUUGGUCAUGUCACAAUAAAUUUUAGGGGCAUUGACUCAGUCUCAGAAGAUUUUUGGAGAUUCGGGAAAUUUUACGGAAAUUGGGUUCGGACGUCGCGGAAAUUUGGCAGAAGUUCAGAUUGGCUAAAUUAAUGGGAAAUUUGACUUUCGGGUUGAGCUUGUGUGUGUCGGAGAUUAAUAGAAGCCAAAUGAGGAUGAAUUGAAAUUAUUCAAGUGUCCAAUUGAGAGGAGAUGAUGCCAAUUUCGUAAUCCCCCUCAUGCCUAGCCAAAAUGCACCAUUUGAAGUGUUGUGAGAAGGGUUGGUGUGGCCCAUUGGAGGCCAAGGGAUUAUACAUGGCCAAAACCAAGUCUUGGAGAUAUUUGUGGAAAAAUCAAGCUCAAGGGGCCCUCCAUCCUUUUUCAUCUCUAUCUCCUUGCACUCUCUCACCCACCGUCCACCUCCAUCCUCUCUCUCCCUUCUCAUUUCUUCGUGCGACUCCUUCGUGAAUAGCUGAUGUUGAAGACCGGCAGCUCCUUCCUUUGCAAAUUGAAGUCCACGUUCCUCUUCUUCACCGAUUCUGCCAGCCACACGCCAGCCCCACUACCGUUGGUCUCCUUCGGUCAAAACUCCUCUCGCUGGCCUUGGUAGUUGACUGGCGGCAUCCACGAAGCCUUGAAGACCGAAACUCCACCGAGCGAAGCCUCCACCGAAGCAAGGAAAUCUACAGAAGCAAGAGCGGCCGCACGUCUCCACCAUCGAAGACCUUCGCUUCAGCCAGCGCCUCCACGCGUCCUCAACCAGAGCUCUUUCAGUCAACCGCAGCAAGCCCACCGAAAGUCAGUGGUUGACCUAGCAGCUUUGUUCAGCUGCCACUUGGCCGUGAGGCCUUCCGUCGAUGCCUCCCUCACACGCCCACCGAGCUGAGCUCCUCUCUGCUGGGCCGAAGUUGUCUCAACCGAAGUCACCAAUUCCCCAGCAGCAACUCCACGUCGACGCUGCAGCCCCACUUCGGCUUGUCUUCAACGGAGUCAACGGAACCAGCAGCUUCUUCUCUUUUGUUGACUGAAGCUGCCAGCGGAUGCCCCUUCUCCACUGAGGUUGGUCGGCCACAGAAGCCAGCAAGCUGUCCGAGAAUUUUCUUCAUCGUCAACCGAAACCUCGAAGCAUCUCCACGCCUCACCGAACCGCACGUCAUCAGCUCCUUGGACCACCGAAGCUGCAAGUCCAGCCCAGCGAAUUCCAAGCCCAGUCGUCCGUGUAUCUUCAGCCCAUCUGCAGAGGCAUUUCUAGCCCAGCAUAAAUUGGAUUAGAAGCCCAGUAAUUUCAGUCUUUUGGGCCCAGCAAAGACAGGCCCAAUUCAGUUUUAUUUCAAGCCCAUUUUCAGCAAUUGUAAUCUUCAAGCCCAGUUUUUGAAGCCCAAUCGCAGCUAGGCCCAAGUCCAAGAGCAAGCCCAUUCCAGUGCAAGAACAAAUCUCAAUUGGGCUGAGAUUUGUUGGGCCUAAUUCAAGGCCCGGUCCAAGUCCGUGGGAGUCGUUGCGAGCCCGUUUUCGGCCGCCGUCGCGUCGCCGUCGUGGUGAUUCGAUUCCCGCUUUUGAUCAAGUGAGUUUUACUCACUAAUGCUUUAUUAGUUUGCUAAUUAUGCCUUAUGGUUGGUUAGAUUUAAUUACAUGCACUUAGGUGGUUAGAUUAGGUUAGAACAAUUAAUUUAGUGACUUAAUGAUGCAUGUUAGGUGGCUAGACCUAGUUAUUAGCAAGUAGAAAGGUUCGGUUAUUUAUUGAAUGUAUCUCGGGAUUUUUCCCGACCCGUUUCGGGCUCCAAUAAGGCAAUAUGGGCCUAAAUUGGAUUUUCAAUGUUUAUUUAUUUAUUUUCGAAAUUUAUUUAAUUAAUUAUUUUUCCGGAAAUUCAACUGGGAUGGCCAGUGACUGGAAUUUCGUGCUGAUUGUCGUGGUGCAGCUCGUUUAUUCAUUUGAGCUCUACGUUGUGUGGAAUUGAAUUAAUUGUGAAAUUUGAGGAUUUAUCCUUAAAUGUUUGUUAUUGAAUAUUUGAUUGGUAAUGGCCAAGCAUGAGUAUAUAGCGCCAGUACUUUGAUGGGCUAUAUAGUAGGGAGAAUGGUGAGACCAAUCAGGUAUGAUGUUAUUGGACAUACGUGGUUCGGUGAUUGGAAGUAUCACUGGCGAAAACGGCGCCUUAAAGAACGCACGUAAAUGACUUAUAGACAAACGUGGUUCGGUGGUUAUGGGAAUAUCACUGGUGAAAACGGCGCCUUAAAGAACGCACGAUGUUGUCUAUAGCCGAUGUCACCUUGGCGAAAACGGCGCCCUUGAAAGGACACGUGGUUCGGUGAUCAAGGUUAUCACUGGUGAAAACGGCGCCUUAAAGAACGCACGGUGUCGGUGAUCGGUAUGUCAUUGGCGAAAACGACGCCCGAGAAACACAUGUGAUUUGGUGAAUGAGUACACCACUGGGAAAUCGUGGUAUGAGUGGGAAUGACCUAGAAAGGGUCUGACUGACAUGUAAUCGACUGAGUCGAUUGAUCAAUGCUUGAUCGGAUGUCGUGAAUUGUUUGAAUAUCUGUGUUUAACCUUGAAUUGCAGGUUGGAACUGAGGCCAAGGUAAGUCCUUUGACUCGUGUUGUGCUUAGGCAACCGUAUGGUGUAUUAGUUUACUAAUCGAGUCGUAGGGGGUAGGACUCGCUGAGACGUGGUCUCAUUGGUUAUUGAAUAACCAUUUCAGGACCCUGAGGAGAAUCUAAGGAAGAGGAACCUGAAGAGGAGAAAGUAUUUUGAAGAAGAAGAAGAUCCAGAGAGGGAUCUUGAAUAUAACCCGGAUGUGGACUGAGAUCCCAUCCCUUUUGUCAACCCUGUCUCAGUAUAGAUAGGUGUAAGACAAGUAUGUUGUGAAUAGUAUUGUAAAUAUACUAUGAGUUGUGCUGUUAAUGAAAGUGUGGUUGUGAAUUUCAAUAUGAAAAAUAUGGCCUGCUUUCCUAUCCCAUUGUUUUAUUGUCUGGGGAUUUAUAACUGCUUCCGCAUGUGCUUAAUAAAAAGAAAGGGUCGGCGAUACAUAGUCCUGGGAUAUCGCACUAUAAAAUCGACCAAGUAGAAGGAUGUGCGCGCGUCCGAGGAUCGGGGCGUGACAUACGGUCCCUGUUAAAGACCUCUCAGAUUGGUAAUUUCGUACCACUUGCGAGAUUGCUCGAACCCUUGUUUGGCAUGAUGAUGGAAAGAUAGAGUGAUUGUCAAAAAUCAUGUAUUAAAGGUCAGGAUAAAACAACUCAUUUUAAUGAGGAUGAGUGAAAAGUCUUUUCAAACCAAGAGGUCCCCCAUUUGGCACAUCCAUGACACUCAUGUGUUCAGAUUGGAACAUUUUUUGAAAUCUUUCCUAAUGGAAAUUAGGUGAUGCAGGCUUGAUAUAAAUCAUAGUGCAUAAAUCUCCCUUAAAUUAAUGCAUGUUUGUGAUCACAAAUGCAUAUUGCUUUUCCUAUGACCAUGUUUUGCAGAAGACAUUUCCCCCAGGAACAGAGAUGAUACCAUGUAAGUAUAUCUCUAUCCAUACCUUAAAUACUUGUCAUUGUGCAGGUAUUCCCUUUUGAAAACACUGACACUCGAUCGAGCUGUCCCUCAAAGAUUUUUCUCCAGAUUCAGUCUUGAUUAAGGUGACCGAAGAAAGGUUCAAGUCCUGGUCAGAUAAUCUAUGCUGCAACGUUAGGCGACCGAAGAAAAGUUCGGGUCCUGACCAAGCAAAACCUCAGUUUAGGCGACCGUAGAAUGGUAUGGGUCCUAGACAAAACCUAUUCCUUAUUUAGGCGACCGUAGAAUGGUACGGGUCCUGGAAGGUAAAUCCCCGUUUAGGUGACCGUAGAAUGGUACGGGUCCUAGACAAAACCUAUUUCCCUAUUCAGGCGACCGUAGAAUGGUACGGGUCCUAGAAGGUAAACCCCCAUUUAGGCGACCGUAGAAUGGUACGGGUCCUAGAAAAAACCUAUUUCCCUAUUCAGGCGACCGUAGAAUGGUACGAGUCCUGGAAGGUAAACCCCCGUUUAGGCGACCGUAGAAUGGUACGGGUCCUAGACAAAACCUAUUUCCCUAUUCAGGCGACCGUAGAAUGGUACGAGUCCUGGAAGGUAAACCCCCGUUUAGGCGACCGUAGAAUGGUACGGGUCCUAAACAACAUCUAUUUCCCUAUUCAGGCGACUGUAGAAUGGUACGGGUCCUGGAAGGUAAACCCCCGUUUAGGCAACUGUAGAACGGUACAGGUCCUAGACAACAUCUAUUUCCCUAUUUAGGUGACCGUAGAAUGGUACGGGUCCUAGACACAACCAAACACUGCCCUACUAGGCGACCAUAGAAUGGUAUGGGUCCUAGGAAAGUAGUCUCUUCGUUACUAUUUUAGGCGACCGUAGAAAGGUACGGGUCCUGAACAUGUAACACCAACUAUCUUGAAUUACUCUAUCCUCCUUGAAGGUAAGAUAUUCCAGGUAGGUUCCUUUACCAUUUGCAUACAAAUUGCAUUCCAAAAUUUUGACAUCUCAGUUUGGAUCUAGAUGUCUCAAUUCUCUUCGUUGAACGUUUCACUCUGGAUGUGAAUGUUCUUCAACUUUCAUCGUUAUACCUUAGUCUGGAUCUAGGUAUUUUGAGCUUCUAAAAUCAUGACAUCUCUGUCUGGACCCGGAUGUCUUGAUUAUUUUCGUCUAAACAUUUCACUCUGGAUGUGAAUGUUUUUUCGACCUUUCUCAUUAUACUUAGUCUGGAUCUAGGUAUCUCGAGUACAAAAAUCUUGACAUCUCAGUCUGGACCUGGAUGUCUUGAUUAUUUUCAUUCAAACAUUUCACUCUGGAUGUGAAUGUUUGUAAAUCCUUCUCAUUAUACCUUAGUUUGGAUCUAGGUAUUUUGAGUUUUCAAAAAUCUUGACAUCUUAGUCUCAAUCUGGAUGUCUCAAUUUUUUAUGUUGAACAUUUCACUUUGGAUGUGAAUGUUCUUACCUAUUACGCUUUUCAAGGAACCUGAGUGAGAGUUGGGUACUUGUGGAGUAAAUAGGAAUUUAUCAUGUACCUUAAGAUGCUUUACCGCAUUGAUUGGUAAGUAAUUGUAGGUACGUUCUUUCCUUUGACAUCAUGCAUUUGCAUUAGCAUUUCCAUGCACCACAUGAAUUGCUUUCUUUUUUUUUUAAAAAAAAAAAUGGGAUACAUUUCCCGACAAAAAAAAUCAUUUAGUGUAUGUGCAUAGUUAAAAUUUAGGUCUCAAUUUGUCUUUGAAGGCAACCUCUUCGAGCUCACAUUCAAAUAGGGGCAGCUGUUGACACCUAAAUUUUAACAGCCCAUAUAGUCAUUUAAUGAGAUUAAAAAAUUAGGGGUUUAAUUUUAUCAAAAAAAUAUUAAUUACAUAGCAUAUAGAUUUAGGUGCAUUUUAUUUUAAUUGGCAUUUUAUUUAUUGGACCGGUGUGGAUGGGUUCAAAUUGAUCGGACUAAACCCAUAAAGACUACAAGUUAGCCCGAACCCAUUUUCUGAAAUUGAGAUUUGAAAUAAUAAUUUUUGGAAUUUAAGAAAAUCGGGUUGUGAUCUUAUCUUAAAAAUCAGUAGAAAAUAUUUAUGAGAUAAGGAGAAUAUUAUGAGAUAAAAGGAUUUUGUGAUACGGAGGUUAUAGGCAAUUUUCGAAAUAUUUUAAGAAGAUCGCAUUAUGCUUGCUUAUAAAAGGGCAGUGUACGGCCUGAUCGGGGGGGGCUCUCGGUUAAAAAAAAAAGAAAUCAAAAGUUAAAAAGUGAGAAGAGAGAGAUCAGUGAGGAAAAGCUGCCUAGGGAAAGAAAAGUCAAAAGAGGCAGAGGGAAGAGACAGCAGUAAGAGAAGAGAGAGAAAAUACCAAAAAAAACAGGAAAAGAAAAAAAAGUCUUCUUCUCCUUUUUCGUGCAGUGCCCCGCCGACCCUCUGCACUCCCCUUCCGCUGCUGCCGACGUCCACAGCCGUGCCUCCACACCGUUGCUGCUGCUCCUGCGCCCCGCACAGCCCGCACCCAGUCACCAACCACCGCGUGCCCCUGCUCCAAGUGCUGCUGAUCCGCGCCCGAUAGACGACACCACUGCUGCUGUCCUGAUCUGCCCACUUGAACGCUCGACUCCGGCAGAUGUGAGCCGGACCGCUGCUGCCCGAGCACCGCUGGUCGUCGCACCACCGUGCCCAUGCACCGCGCCGCACCAUCGCGCUCAGAUCUCCGCGCCGCGCCUCAACGCCCUGCCGGCUUUGCCCGCAACAUCGUCGCCGAUCGACCCACGCUGCCCCAACGCUAAGCCCCGCCUUGCGUCGCCUGUCCCCGAUCCGCCCGCGAAGCCGCUCCACCUGCAGAUCUGUGACCCAGACGCCCGUGAAGCCACUCCGCCUGCAUAUUCGAGCCCACCGCAACACCGUGACCAGAUUCCCCGAGUUGCAGUCCCAUUUGCUGCCCUGCCGUCGAAGCCGAGCACCUGCGCCCGCGAUGCCGGCCGAGAUCUCGCCUGCCGCUGCUCCUCGCGACGCCACCGCUCGCCGCCGAUCCGCUCGCUGCUGGUCCUCAUCGCCGGAGCUCCGACGAUUAACUCCCGGUGGACCUCCACG